GCAAAGGGAUCGAGUCACAGGAUGGCACCUGAGCAUCCCUGUCUCAGCUCAGGACUCCUUGCUGAGCUUCCUCCUACAGCUGAAGGCUUUGAAUCCCAGCGACAUUCAUUCCGCAACAUACUAACCACAUCCUGGUGAUCCCAGCUUCAGAGAGGAGAACACGGGGACUUGAGUUCACUGUUGCGGUGAAGUCCUGCUCUGGCCCCAGGCAGAAGUCAAGAUCAAAGCUCACACUGCAAAUAUUGUGCUGAUUAAAACCAAACUUUCUGCUUUUGAUGUGGGCCAACCUCCAUUGCUGGUAGGAACAAAGGAGGAGUAUAGCAAAAAGAUACUAGCAAUGUUUUCUUAUCCUGGGUUACCACCUACAUUGUUUCUUGGGGAGAAGGAUGCCUGACUCCUACAGAGUAAUGAGACACAAGGAGGGUGCCUGAGCCAUUUCUACAGACUCCAAGAGGUUCUAACCAGCCCAGGUCACUUCCACUUUUGAGACCUGUGGACACGUUAUGAUGUUAUGAAAUGCCAGAGCAGGAUUACCAAAACUCUCACAUAUUUGUAAAUGCUUGUAUUUUGCAAAUGACCCUUAUUUACAACCAAAAUAAAACUUCGUUUGGGAACAAUGUCAAGAGUCUUAAUGUGAGGCCUUUUAUGAAUACAAGGCCUCCUGCUAAAUGGCCCACCUGCUUCCCCCUCAUAAGCCUGGUCAUAUCAGUACCCCCAGGAGCUUGGCACAUGGUUUUCACAUGGUGAAUAAUGAAAAAGUACUUCCUAAAUGAAUAAGUGCACACAUGGAUGAAUAAACAAUCUACAUGUCCUUGGGCUCUGCAUACUUCAUUGGGAAAAUAAUAAGGUGGCAACAGGGUUCUCUAAGAAGCGUGCAGAUUAAAGUUCCCCUCUAUGGUUGGCCAGAACCCAAAAAAUCACCUCACCAAUAGAUCUAAGGAACAGAAAUGAGGCCUUUUAAUUAGAAGUAAGAAUUAACAUUCCAGUUUUAAUAGUAAGCAUCUAAUACCAAUCUUCAACUAGGAUACAUUUCUACCACUAGAUUUAGAACGGGGAAGGACAGAACUUUCCAGGAGCCAUAGACUGGGUCCUUUGAAAGAAUUGCUACUAUGGUUUCAACUGCUGUUGUGUACUUCAUACAUGUUUUUGCAAGGAUUAGGAGGAAAUAGUUGGUUAAACAAAUCCUUACACCAUGGAUAAAUAGGGGCCUCAAAAGACUGACAAACAUGUUGAACUUGGAAAAAUCCCAAGACCAUGCAUCACAAUCUUGACACUACAAGUAUCUGUUCCCCACCCAACUGAGCAGAUGUUAUUGCUCUCAAAGCUCCAUUUUUCAGCCAAUGCCUCCUGCUAGAUUUACCCACUGAGGAUUUCUGAUUGAUAGCUAUAGAGAGGAGAGCCACCUUGAAGUUACAAUUUUUAAAAAAUCAGCCGCUAGAUUUUGGGUUUGAACAUCUCAAAACGAUAGGCCCCUUUCUCCCAAUUUGCCAUGGAUAUGUCCCAAACAGUCUGUGCAAGUCUGUGCUUCAGAUUCACAGCCCUUAGAAAGAGGAAAACAUAACUUGACAUCUACCUUCCUCACUGGCUUCAUGAAGAGGAUUAAUGAGUUCAUAAGCAUUAAGUACUUUGCAAGCCACAGGUGACUGGAAAACAUUAUUAGGACCACAUUUUUCCUAACAAAGUGGUUCAAGCUUUGAACAGAAGGUUAAAUCCCAGGAGAAAUAUCUACUUUUAAUACAGGAAGCUGGAUGCCUACUGUCAGGUAAUAGGAUGCCUGUUAAAAUGCCCUGGGUUAUCCAGUCACUAGUGACAGGGACAGAUUUAGACAAUAUGAGGGCAAGAGUAUCCCCCAAAGCACUGUUGAAAGUAACUGAAGUAAUAAGCAAUUCCAAUUAACAGUGGCAUCUGCAGCAGCAGCAGAAACACUUUGGUUAGACUGAUGUUUCUCUGAACUCACUCCCUUUCUCCAGUCUGAAAACCUUUGCUGUUUUGCAAACCACAGCUCUGUUAACAAUGUCCAGUCAUUUACUUCUGCCACAUCCAAACUUUGUGUGUGCACAAACAUGACCUAGUUGAACUGCAAUAAUUGUAUUUAUUUGAUACAACCCAGGUGGGUUCCAAGACUCCUGUUAGCAGGGAAAACACAAAGUCAUUAAGUUCACUUCGGGCUUAGAUAUGUCUCCUUCCUGUUCCCAGGAACAUUUCUUCCUGAAUCUAUAUUUACUCACAAAGUACAAAUAAUGUGAAAUGGCUAAGCAGCUAAAAACUUACAGAAAGAUCUCUACUACCCCCACAAAAUGAUAUUCUAUUUAUUUCGCAACCCAGGGUGCCUAAAACUCUAAAACAACUUUAGUCACCAAAAAAGGUGGAAACUUCAGAUGCAUUUAGGAAGGCAAUGACCUCUAAAUCAGGAAUCCUGACCUCUAAUUUCAUCAGUGCUCUGGCAUUUCUGCAAACUUUUCAUUUUCAGAACAAAAGGAUUUGUCUAGUAGGACAAUGAGGAGGAGAUUUUAGGAUGAGAAUGGAGGUAGGGAAAACACUUAUAAAGCUAUUGCAGGACUUCAGGAAAGACAUAAUAUGACUGAAAGAAAUUAGUGGUGGUGGGAAUUCAAACAUGGAUUGAUUUCCGAAGAGCAUCAGGCUUUUUGCUAGUAGCUGAGUCUUCAUUGCCAUCAAGAGUCCCUGUCUCUGUGAACACCCAACACACAUAUAAAUAACCUUGACAUAUAUUAACUGCUACAACUGUAGCAUGAAUAAAAUGUCUCAGAAUCACAAGUUGAGAAGCAAUUGAUUGAGACUGGAAUAGUCUAAAAAAACUGAAAAAACAAUGACAUAUUGAAUAGGAUUUCACCUAUAUCAGAAGGAGGGAAAUAGCUUUCUUGGCAGCAUGAUGCAUGCAUCUGUUUGGCAGGCUCAAUGCCUAGUGAGUCAUUUAUUCAUUUAUCCACUCCAUCAUUCAUUUGUUUAUUUAUUCAUUUAUUUAUCAGGCCUCUGCAGUAUGUUAGGCUCCACGUGGGGCCCUGGAUAUAUUAUAUUGAGUAAAGAGCAGUGGGCACAGAUGAAAAAGUAUUGGAUGUCAGGCUAUGAAGUUUCAGUCAUAUCCUGAUAGUCAUAGGAUCUAAUCAAGGAUUUUUGAGCAGGCAAAUGACAUGAUCACCACCUCUAUUAAGUAAAAUAGCUCUGGCCAAAAAUAAACUGUAAGGCUGGGCGUGGUGGCUCAUGCCUGUAAUCCCAGCACUUUGGGAGGUCGAGGUAGGCAGAUCACAAGGUCAGGAGAUUGAGACCAUACUGGCCAACAUGGUGAAACCCCAUUUCUGCUAAAAAUACAAAAAUUAGCUGAGCGUGGUGUUGUGUGCCUGUAGUCCCAGCUACUUGGGAGGCUGAGGCAGGAGAAUCGCUUGAACCUGGGAGGCAGAGGCUGCAGUGAGCCCAGAUUGUGCCACUGCAUUCCAGCCUGGCAACAGAGUGAGACUCUGUCUCAAAAUAAAAUGAAAUAAAAUAAAAUAAAAUAAAAUUGUAAAGUGGAGAGUUAGAAGCUGAUGACUGAGAGCCCAACUGUAGAAGAUAUUGCUGUAAUCUAGAAACAGGAUAAGAUCUGACUAGGACAAAGGAAGAGGGCAUAAAAAGAGGAAUAAAAAUUUGCAAGCUGUGGGUAAAACGAACUUUGAGAGAUAGGCAGGGACAGAGCCGGAGCGUUAGUUUUCUGGCUUGUGUUAAUAGAUAAAACAUUCGUCUGUUACCUAGAAGGGAGUUUGACAGGAGAGUGAAAGAUGAUAGUUUUGGUUUGAGGUAUGUCACGUUUGAGAAAUUUCUGGGUCGUCCAUGUAGGAACAUCCAGUGGACAUGCCUGAAGUUCGGGAUAGAGGCAAAGGCUAGAGAAAGGGAUUUGAGGGUUGUCUGCAAAAAACAAUAUAAUAUAUCCACGUAGGGCUCUAGAUAUAUUACAUUGAGUAGAGACCGGUGGGGGCUGAUGGAAAAGUGGUGGAUGUGUUGCAAAAAAGUAACAGUGGAUGACACCUGAUUAAAAGCCUAUUGAUGACAUAUAAGGAAUGAUGAUCUAGUUAAAAAAAAAAAAAAAAGAUCCGUGUCAGAGCAGGAGAACCAGGAAAGAGUGCUAUCACAAAGCCAACAAGGCAAGAAAGAAUUUCCAGAAAGAGGGCUGGUAUGCAGCAGAAAGUGCUGAAAACACAACUCCUUCUACAUUUCUUUUCACCCCACCACCAAAUUGGCUUGCCUCAUUUGCAGACAUAUCCUUGAAUAUCUCUUCUUAAGCUAUGCUUUAAUAUUUAUCUGUGACUAUUGCAUAUACAGUAGCUAAAUAUGAAACUCCAUUAACAUCAGUGUUUUCUGACUCCACUUUGGUGAGUCAUUCAACGUAAUCAGGACUUAGAAAUGAGCAACAGAUGUGUCACAUUCUUUGAGCAGUGCUCAAAGAAACCCAAAAUGGUCAACAUGUAAACUUUUCUAAAAUAUGUUUUCCUGACAUUAUGGAUGAUAAUGAGGUUUUCUAAAUUAUAAGUCAAAGCCAUUUACUUUAUAGCAUUUCCAGAAAAAUCUGAAUUGCAGAAAUGCCAUGUUUCCAAGAAACAGUAAUGGUUUCAACUCUGUUUUCUCUCUUAUGUCUUACUCUUUGGAUAACCAAUAGCAAAUUUCUGGAAGGGGAAAGCUGCAAAACCAAAUCAAACUGGCACCACAAAUGAUCAACUGACAUCUUCAUAGCAGUUUAGUUCAUGUUUAAAAUUGAAGAAUAAAGCACCAUACCUG
This 4764-nucleotide long non-coding RNA is filed under the name Homo sapiens (human). RNAcentral's name for it is "HSALNT0142704". Lineage: Eukaryota; Metazoa; Chordata; Mammalia; Primates; Hominidae. The record is from RNAcentral.